CGGUGCAUUAAUGCUGGUAUGAUCGCACCCGUACGAAAGUGGAUUGGAAGAUUACUAAUGCAGCGUUACGAACGCGCAGAACGGUUUGAGUAGCCACGGAGUAAAAAAGGAAAUAAAAACGGAAAAAAGGGUGAAAUAAUUUCGGAAAAAAGGGAACGGCAAGAAGGUAUCGUCGAGGAGUCGGAUCGAGAAUCGGACGGAAGGAGGAAAAAAAAAAAGAAAUUAAAAUUAAAAGGGGACUGGAACGAGAAGAGGCAAAAAGGAGUGCAACACGAGGACUUCCCAGGAGGUCACCCAUCCUAGUACUACUCUCGCCCAAGCACGCUUAACUGCGGAGUUCUGAUGG
RNAcentral lists this ribosomal RNA (346 nucleotides) under Allium cepa (onion). Lineage: Eukaryota; Viridiplantae; Streptophyta; Magnoliopsida; Asparagales; Amaryllidaceae. The record is from RNAcentral.